GCGCAGCAGGGCAUGGAAGGGCAGUUCCGGGUGCGCUGCCAUCGCGUCGGCCGGGUAGCGCUCGGCCAGCAGUUGCAGAUUGCUGUGGCGCA
This 92-nucleotide transfer RNA is filed under the name Vogesella alkaliphila. RNAcentral describes it as "tRNA-Gly". Lineage: Bacteria; Pseudomonadati; Pseudomonadota; Betaproteobacteria; Neisseriales; Chromobacteriaceae. The record is from RNAcentral.